Molecule: small nuclear RNA, 23 nt
Filed under: Arabidopsis thaliana (thale cress)
Lineage: Eukaryota; Viridiplantae; Streptophyta; Magnoliopsida; Brassicales; Brassicaceae
Description: snRNA_07614
Source: RNAcentral
CUCGGCAUAGAAUCUACUGCCUC